This 253-nucleotide ribosomal RNA is filed under the name uncultured bacterium. RNAcentral describes it as "partial 16S ribosomal RNA". It matches the Rfam family "Bacterial small subunit ribosomal RNA", at positions 524 to 776 of the family's 1533-position model. The record is from RNAcentral.
UACGUAGGGGGCGAGCGUUGUCCGGAAUCAUUGGGCGUAAAGCGCGUGUAGGCGGCUCGGUAAGUCUGCUGUGAAAGUCCAGGGCUCAACCCUGGGAUGCCGGUGGAUACUGUCGAGCUCGAGUCCGGAAGAGGCGAGUGGAAUUCCUGGUGUAGCGGUGAAAUGCGCAGAUAUCAGGAGGAACACCAAUGGCGAAGACAGCUCGCUGGGACGUGACUGACGCUGAGACGCGAAAGCGUGGGGAGCAAACAGG